This 1104-nucleotide long non-coding RNA is filed under the name Bos grunniens (domestic yak). RNAcentral describes it as "lncRNA (ENSBGRG00000011925.1)". The record is from RNAcentral. Lineage: Eukaryota; Metazoa; Chordata; Mammalia; Artiodactyla; Bovidae.
GACGCAGAGGGAGCCCCGCGGGACGCGAGCGGCGCCGGGCGGCCGGGCACCCGCAGGGCCCCGCCUCCGCCGGGACAGAGCCCCAGCGCCCCGAGGGCGGCCCGCGUCACCCCGAGGGCGGGCGCACAGCCCUGGCGGCUUCCGCUUUCCCUGUGGAGAAGAAGGGGCUUCCGGUGUUCACGGUGUGGCACCGACACAGGGCAGGCUCGGGGCCCUCACGCGUCCCCGCCGGCGGGCCGAGCCCGGCGGGCUGAGGGCCUGACAGACGCCCGCACAGGGUCGUCGGCCCCGGGCCACGGCCAGCUUCCGCGCCGAGCCCCCAGCCGCCCCUCCGGCGCCGACCCGGGGCCCACGGGUGACCCGCUCCCGGCCCCUCCCAGCGGCGCCCGCGUCCAGCGCCGGCCCGCGAGGCCCCAGGAUCGCUUCACGGCCCGGCCCCGGGGCCUCUUACCUGACACGGCAGGGUCCGCCCGGAACCUUAGCGCGGCCGCGGCAGCGGCGCCAGAGGCGGGCCCGGACGGUUUUCCCCAGCGCACCGAGGCCGACUCCGAGCUGUCAGCGGCGGCGGGAAAGCGCCGGCGCGGGAGCUCUGGGCUAAAGUCCAGAGGGCGGGGCCGACUCGGGGACGGGGACGGGCCUCCAGUGGGGGCGUGGUCAGGAGGGGCGGGGCUUGCGGGCCUACCUGGCGCCCCUGACGCACCUGGCGCUCCGCCCCGCCCGCACCAAGUACCUGGCGCAGGAGCGUGUCCUCGCCCCUUCUGUCCGCCUCGAAGGGCCCCCUCGGCCCGCGCUGGUCUCCGGAUUCCAGAGCCCCGGCCCCGCGGUGCUCUGCCCCCAGCACCCCCGGGCCGAGGCAGGACCUCACGACCGCCCCUGCGCCUCCCGCGAUCCGGCCGGGAAGCGCCGACUUCCGCGUGGGGCCAGGAUCGCUUCACGGCCCGGCCCGGGGCCUCUUACCUGACACGGCAGGGUCCGCCCGGAACCUUAGCGCGGCCGCGGCAGCGGCGCCAGAGGCGGGCCCGGACGGUUUUCCCCAGCGCACCGAGGCCGACUCCGAGCUGUCAGCGGCGGCGGGAAAGCGCCGGCGCGGGAGCUCUGGGCUAA